Molecule: long non-coding RNA, 1064 nt
Organism: Eucalyptus grandis
Lineage: Eukaryota; Viridiplantae; Streptophyta; Magnoliopsida; Myrtales; Myrtaceae
Exons: 3
Source: RefSeq, a predicted model, not a curated record
GCAAUUUAGAAUGUCACGAAGUUAAGGUUCCUUCGAUUGGGGGACACGACUGCAAGUGAAGACUUAAACGAAUUCCUUUCUCAAGUAAGGUGGCUUCAUUGGCUUCACAUUGAACUCAAUCCAUCUUUUCCGACAAACGAUUUGCAUCUACCAAAGUUAAAGGUGUUGCAAUUGUCAUAUAGUUCGAUCACAGAUGAUUGGAAAGGAUGGAAUUCAAUCGUGGUGGCAAAGCGGUUGCAAGUUAUCCAACUUGAAUUUAUUGAUUCUUUAAGAUGUACACUUGAUCUCUCGGCUUUCAUAGAGUUAAAAAUUCUCAUCUUCAAGAAUUGCAAAGAACUGAUGCAGGUCCACCCUUCUAUUGGCAAAGUCAAGAGCCUUGUUUACUUGGAAUUGAGUGGUUGUGGCAGUCUCAAGGAGCUACCGAGAGAAGUGGGCGAAUUAGAAGAACUACGAGAACUUAUUUUAGAUAAUUCUGGUAUUACAAAGAUUCCUACGUCAAUUGGUUCUCUGAGGAUGCUAGAGAAGUUGAGUGCUUGUUGUUGUAGGUCAUUGAGAGAAAUCCCUAACUCAAUUGGGGAUUUACAGUAUUUGCAAUAUCUAGACAUUAGUGAGUCUUUGAUAUCCGACCUACCAGAAAGCAUUCGGAAUCUUUCUUCUCUCCAACACCUUGUACUAUGGAACUGUUACAAUCUUCAGUCGUUACCGGAGCUUCCUUUGAGCUUAGAAUACCUAAGAGCUUCUUAUCAAGGGUCCAUAUUGCCAGAGCUUUCUUACCUAAUCCACCUAGAAAGACUUGUUCUUUCAUGGAAACAAUCCACUUGAAUAAAUCUCAAUCCUUCAAGAACUUGAAUCUUCAUGUUGCCUCAACUAAUUUGUAGAGGCGACAAAGCAGCAAUUAUAAGGGAAACAAGCUGGAGCAAGGAGAACAAGAAUUUGCUAGUUAGUUUCUAUCCUGUUUGAUCCUGUUGUGGCCAUGGCAUAAUACUAUCACGUGAUUGAUCUGGGUCUGGCUAACUUUGUAGAGGAACUUCAAAUUUCAUAACAGAGACCCAUCAAAAAAAAAA